Molecule: ribosomal RNA, 689 nt
Filed under: uncultured Bacilli bacterium
Lineage: Bacteria; Bacillati; Bacillota; Bacilli
Description: bacterial SSU rRNA
Rfam family: Bacterial small subunit ribosomal RNA
Source: RNAcentral
AACGGGUGAGUAACACGUGGGUAACCUGCCCAUCAGAAGGGGAUAACACUUGGAAACAGGUGCUAAUACCGUAUAACAAUCGAAACCGCAUGGUUUUGAUUUGAAAGGCGCUUUCGGGUGUCGCUGAUGGAUGGACCCGCGGUGCAUUAGCUAGUUGGUGAGGUAACGGCUCACCAAGGCCACGAUGCAUAGCCGACCUGAGAGGGUGAUCGGCCACAUUGGGACUGAGACACGGCCCAAACUCCUACGGGAGGCAGCAGUAGGGAAUCUUCGGCAAUGGACGAAAGUCUGACCGAGCAACGCCGCGUGAGUGAAGAAGGUUUUCGGAUCGUAAAACUCUGUUAUUAGAGAAGAACAAGGAUGAGAGUAACUGUUCAUCCCUUGACGGUAUCUAACCAGAAAGCCACGGCUAACUACGUGCCAGCAGCCGCGGUAAUACGUAGGUGGCAAGCGUUGUCCGGAUUUAUUGGGCGUAAAGCGAGCGCAGGCGGUUUCUUAAGUCUGAUGUGAAAGCCCCCGGCUCAACCGGGGAGGGUCAUUGGAAACUGGGAGACUUGAGUGCAGAAGAGGAGAGUGGAAUUCCAUGUGUAGCGGUGAAAUGCGUAGAUAUAUGGAGGAACACCAGUGGCGAAGGCGGCUCUCUGGUCUGUAACUGACGCUGAGGCUCGAAAGCGUGGGGAGCAAACAGG